RNAcentral lists this non-coding RNA (180 nucleotides) under Candidatus Omnitrophota. RNAcentral describes it as "Candidatus Omnitrophica c-di-GMP sequence". The stretch from base 3 to 81 matches the Rfam family "c-di-GMP-I riboswitch aptamer". The record is from RNAcentral. Lineage: Bacteria; Pseudomonadati.
GCCGAUAAAGGUAAACCGCGGGAAACCGCGGGGCGCAAAGCCGCAGGCCUAAGAUGUUUAUGGGUGGCAUAAGAUGCCACAAAGAGCGCCAAGAAAUGAUGGCGAAACCAUGUUGGUGACAAACACGUGAGCGCUGAUGUCAAAGAUCCCAUAAAUAUGAUGGCAGCUGGGUUGCCGGAG